UUAUCCGGAUUUAUUGGGUUUAAAGGGUCCGUAGGCGGACUUAUAAGUCAGUGGUGAAAGCCUGUCGCUUAACGAUAGAACUGCCAUUGAUACUGUAAGUCUUGAGUAUAUUUGAGGUAGCUGGAAUAAGUAGUGUAGCGGUGAAAUGCAUAGAUAUUACUUAGAACACCAAUUGCGAAGGCAGGUUACCAAGAUAUAACUGACGCUGAGGGACGAAAGCGUGGGGAGCGAACAGGA
This 237-nucleotide unclassified non-coding RNA is filed under the name plant metagenome. Its description in RNAcentral is "partial contains 5.8S ribosomal RNA, internal transcribed spacer 2, and large subunit ribosomal RNA". It matches the Rfam family "Bacterial small subunit ribosomal RNA", at positions 541 to 777 of the family's 1533-position model. The record is from RNAcentral.